UACGUAGGGGGCAAGCGUUGUCCGGAAUUAUUGGGCGUAAAGCGCGCGCAGGCGGCGGUUUAAGUUUGGUGUUUAAGCCCGGGGCUCAACUCCGGUUCGCACUGAAAACUGGAUCGCUUGAGUGCAGGAGAGGGAAGUGGAAUUCCACGUGUAGCGGUGAAAUGCGUAGAGAUGUGGAGGAACACCAGUGGCGAAGGCGACUUCCUGGCCUGUAACUGACGCUGAGGCGCGAAAGCGUGGGGAGCAAACAGGAUUAGAUACCCUGGUAGUCCACGCCGUAAACGAUGAGUGCUAGGUGUUAGGGGUUUCGAUACCCUUGGUGCCGAAGUAAACACAGUAAGCACUCCGCCUGGGGAGUACGGUCGCAAGACUGAA
Molecule: ribosomal RNA, 375 nt
Filed under: uncultured bacterium
Lineage: Bacteria
Description: bacterial SSU rRNA
Rfam family: Bacterial small subunit ribosomal RNA
Source: RNAcentral